GAUGAACGCUGGCGGCGUGCCUAAUACAUGCAAGUCGAGCGAACAGACGAGGAGCUUGCUCCUUUUACGUUAGCGGCGGACGGGUGAGUAACACGUGGAUAACCUACCUAUAAGACUGGGAUAACUUCGGGAAACCGGAGCUAAUACCGGAUAACAUGUUGAACCGCAUGGUUCAACAGUGAAAGACGGUCUUGCUGUCACUUAUAGAUGGAUCCGCGCCGCAUUAGCUAGUUGGUAAGGUAACGGCUUACCAAGGCAACGAUGCGUAGCCGACCUGAGAGGGUGAUCGGCCACACUGGAACUGAGACACGGUCCAGACUCCUACGGGAGGCAGCAGUAGGGAAUCUUCCGCAAUGGGCGAAAGCCUGACGGAGCAACGCCGCGUGAGUGAAGAAGGUCUUCGGAUCGUAAAACUCUGUUAUUAGGGAAGAACAAAUGUGUAAGUAACUAUGCACGUCUUGACGGUACCUAAUCAGAAAGCCACGGCUAACUACGUG
This 497-nucleotide ribosomal RNA is filed under the name uncultured bacterium. Its description in RNAcentral is "partial 16S ribosomal RNA". It matches the Rfam family "Bacterial small subunit ribosomal RNA", at positions 28 to 507 of the family's 1533-position model. The record is from RNAcentral.